CGUUCCGCUUCGGUGGACAAGUAAAGUGGCGCACGGGUGCGUAACGCGUGGGUAAUCUACCCUUGAAUUUGGAAUAACUCCGCGAAAGCGGUGCUAAUACCGGAUAAUAUCUUUUAAUCCACGGACUAUUAGAUCAAAGGUGGCUUCUACAUGUAAGCUACCGUUUAAGGAGGAGCCCGCGUACCAUUAGCUAGUUGGUAGGGUAAAUGCCUACCAAGGCAACGAUGGUUAGCUGGUCUGAGAGGAUGAUCAGCCACAUUGGAACUGACACACGGUCCAGACUCCUACGGGAGGCAGCAGUGAGGAAUUUUGCGCAAUGGGGGAAACCCUGACGCAGCAACGCCGCGUGAGUGAUGAAGGCCUUUAGGGUCGUAAAACUCUGUCAAGUGGAAAGAACCUGUUAAACCUUAAUACGGGUUUAGCACUGACGGUACCACUGAAGGAAGCACCGGCUAACUCCGUGCCAGCAGCCGCGGUUAAUACGGGGGGGUGCAAGCGUUAUUCGGAAUUAUUGGGCGUAAAGAGCGCGUAGGCGGNUUU
Molecule: ribosomal RNA, 540 nt
Filed under: uncultured delta proteobacterium
Lineage: Bacteria; Deltaproteobacteria
Description: bacterial SSU rRNA
Rfam family: Bacterial small subunit ribosomal RNA
Source: RNAcentral